AUCUCUGUUUUUAAUUUUUAUGCCCAAAAAGGAAACUGUGCAGAAUCGGUUAACUAUUCACAAAGGCGAAGGUUUGAUGCUCGACGCAGGUUUGGCGGAUCGUCGGCGACAGACGGCGGACUGAGAUUUGUUGAUUUCUUACAAACCUUCCGGCGGGCGUUAGCUCCACUGCCGGACUUGCCUUCUAAUUGCGUUGUUGAAAUCGCCUGCGGACGGCGAUACAGCGGACAAUAGCGCGGAAAAUCUUGACCGGAUUUCGAUAAUUGUAUUGGUUAGUUGUGUUUUAUCAGCAAAACAAGUGUAAUUGUCAGAGAAAACGAUUUUGCUCGUUACUGUUUGCUGGAAAAGAAAUUUAUGGAUUUGGUGUGAAGAUCCAUCGGAUUGAUCUGCUUGAAAUUUUGCUUCCAUUUUGUCUUCUGUUUCUGGUGCGAGGUGUUGAUAUAUAGAGAGAGGAGAUAUAGUGGUGGGAUGAAGGUGAAGAAGAAGAGAUAUGGCGAAGGUAGAGUGGGGUUAUCAAGGAAGAGGUAAAUUGGCGUUUUCGUACAAGAAAACCACUCUCAUCAUUUGCUCUAUCAACAUUAUCGUUGCUCUCUAUGUUCUUCGAUCUCUAUAUGCUUCUCUCUACCUCUAUACGGAUAAUGAUUCUCGAAGUGUUGUAAAGUACACUCCGGAUCAGAUUAGGAAAAUGGAACAGUUUAUUCGGAUUCGUCGAGCCUCUAAGCCGGUAGAGCUCAUUAAAUUUGUUAAGGAGCUUAAAGAAUUCUCCCAAGAAGAAACGGUGAAUGAAUUGCCUCAACCAUUGAAACAGAAGAUAACUGAGGAAAUUCUUCUGAAAUUGAGAAGCUCAAAUACUAGCUCCAACAGUACUCAGCAGAGAGAAGCAGUAGAAAGCUGGAGAAAGGAAAAAUUGGAAGAAGCAAGGAAGUUAAUCACAGAACAAACGAUUGAAAAUUCAACUCUUUCUUCUGAAGAUGCUGGGAUUCUAGUAAAAGCCUUGGAGACUGAUUGGGCAGUGCUGGCUGAAGAAAUUGGUGUGUGGAUACCAGCGGAGAUCUUCAACAGGGAGCAUGAUGAUAAGCCUGAAGACGCAGAUGAAUUCGAUGGUGAAGUUUUACCUGGCAGGCCACUUCCACCUGAAUGUAACGCCGAGCUCCAUACAGAUUACGGUGGUGCUGCUGUAAGAUGGGGCCUAACACAUCAUAAACAAAGUGCAGCGGAUUGCUGUCAGGCUUGCUUGGAUCAUGUGAAACGAGCGCAACCAGGUGGAAGAAAAUGCAACAUCUGGGUUUACUGUCCAUCUGAGACUGGAUGCCACUCUCCUGAUAUCUAUGAGCAUAAAUAUAUGGAGUGCUGGCUGAAAUAUGCAGAAACUCCCAAACUGAAUUUCAAGACCUACUAUCCACAAUCUUACAGAAACUCACACCCGACCGCCCCGCUGAUCGUCCCUUGGGUCUCUGGUGUUAUUAGCGUUUAAUUGUACGACAAAUCAGGCAAGAAACUUCCACUAAAAUGAUUGUGACUUCCCUUGUCUUUCUUACAUUUGAGCAUCAUUGUCCAUAGAGUAGUAUGAAUGUUCUGUUUGAUUCAUAUCUGGCUUACUUUCAUGUAACACGGGUUUUGGCGAACUUGGUGCCACCACUUCAUAUCGACGAGUCGAAGGCCGAGAGGGCGAUAGAGGUAACAUGAAAAAGAAAGGCUAUUUUUUUU
Cucurbita moschata (crookneck pumpkin) is the source of this 1707-nucleotide RNA transcript. RefSeq lists it as uncharacterized. Lineage: Eukaryota; Viridiplantae; Streptophyta; Magnoliopsida; Cucurbitales; Cucurbitaceae. The record is from RefSeq and is a predicted model, not a curated record. The transcript has 8 exons.